GACGAACGCUGGCGGCGUGCUUAACACAUGCAAGUCGAGCGGUAAGGCCCCCUUCGGGGGUACGACGAGCGGCGAACGGGUGAGUAACACGUGAGCAACCUACCCUUCACUUCGGGAUAAGCCUCGGAAACAAGGUCUAAUACCGGAUAUCACUCUUGGUCUCAUGACUGGGGGUUGAAAGUUCUGGCGGUGAGGGAUGGGCUCGCGGCCUAUCAGCUUGUUGGUGGGGUAAUGGCCACCAAGGCGUCGACGGGUAGCCGGCCUGAGAGGGCGACCGGCCACACUGGGACUGAGACACGGCCCAGACUCCUACGGGAGGGCAGCAGUGGGGAAUAUUGCGCAAUGGACGAAAGUCUGACGCAGCAACGCCGCGUGAGGGAUGACGGCCUCGG
Molecule: ribosomal RNA, 392 nt
Filed under: uncultured bacterium
Lineage: Bacteria
Description: bacterial SSU rRNA
Rfam family: Bacterial small subunit ribosomal RNA
Source: RNAcentral